Molecule: long non-coding RNA, 279 nt
Organism: Ornithodoros turicata
Lineage: Eukaryota; Metazoa; Arthropoda; Arachnida; Ixodida; Argasidae
Exons: 3
Source: RefSeq, a predicted model, not a curated record
GGAACAGCAAUCCUGCGAAGUGGCACUGGUUGCCUACCAGCUAGCCUCUGUCAGAGCAGGCCACUUCACCGUUACUUGAAGCUGCUGCCGGCUAAAAGAAGCUGAGCAAGCUCCGUGCGCAUAUGCCCACUGAUAUAACCUGGAGAGAUGGUCACUUCUGGGCACACCAUCCUUCCUGACCAAGUUGUGUGGAAAGGCAUCCAAGACACCCUUGGCCUUGGAUCACUUUCUGGAAGAAGAUCCAGGAGGGGGCAUCUCUUUUGCAUGGUUUCUCAUGAC